GUGGGGAAUCUUCCGCAAUGGACGAAAGUCUGACGGAGCAACGCCGCGUGAACGAUGACGGCCUUCGGGUUGUAAAGUUCUGUUAUACGGGACGAAUGGUACGACGGCCAAUACCCGUCGUAAGUGACGGUACCGUAAGAGAAAGCCACGGCUAACUACGUGCCAGCAGCCGCGGUAAUACGUAGGUGGCAAGCGUUGUCCGGAAUUAUUGGGCGUAAAGGGCGCGCAGGCGGCGUCGUAAGUCGGUCUUAAAAGUGCGGGGCUUAACCCCGUGAGGGGACGAAACUGCGAUGCUAGAGUAUCGGAGAGGAAAGCGGAAUUCCUAGUGUAGCGGUGAAAUGCGUAGAUAUUAGGAGGAACACCAGUGGCGAGAGCGGCUUUCUGGACGACAACUGACGCUGAGGCGCGAAAGCCAGGGGAGCAAACGGGAUUAGAAACCCUUGUAGUCC
This 449-nucleotide ribosomal RNA is filed under the name uncultured bacterium. RNAcentral's name for it is "partial 16S ribosomal RNA". It matches the Rfam family "Bacterial small subunit ribosomal RNA", at positions 354 to 796 of the family's 1533-position model. The record is from RNAcentral.